This 76-nucleotide transfer RNA is filed under the name bacterium HR24. RNAcentral describes it as "tRNA-Gly". It matches the Rfam family "tRNA". Rfam says of the family: Transfer RNA (tRNA) molecules are approximately 80 nucleotides in length. Their secondary structure includes four short double-helical elements and three loops (D, anti-codon, and T loops). The record is from RNAcentral.
GCGGGCGUAGCUCAGCUGGCAGAGCAUCUGCUUCCCAAGCAGAGGGCCGCGGGUUCGAGUCCCGUCGCCCGCUCCA